AUGCUCACUUUGGUAGCACAUAUACUAAAAUUGAAAUGAUAGUGAGAUUAGCAUGGCCCCUGAGCAAGGAUGACAUGCAAAUUCGUGAAGGAUUCCAUAACUUU
Molecule: small nuclear RNA, 104 nt
Organism: Cervus hanglu yarkandensis (Yarkand deer)
Lineage: Eukaryota; Metazoa; Chordata; Mammalia; Artiodactyla; Cervidae
Source: Ensembl